GACGAACGCUGGCGGCGUGCUUAACACAUGCAAGUCGAACGGAAAGGCCCUGCUUUUGUGGGGUGCUCGAGUGGCGAACGGGUGAGUAACACGUGAGUAACCUGCCCUCGACUUUGGGAUAACUUCAGGAAACUGGGGCUAAUACCGGAUAGGAGCUCCUGCUGCAUGGUGGGGGUUGGAAAGUUUCGGCGGUUGGGGAUGGACUCGCGGCUUAUCAGCUUGUUGGUGGGGUAGUGGCUUACCAAGGUUUUGACGGGUAGCCGGCCUGAGAGGGUGACCGGCCACAUUGGGACUGAGAUACGGCCCAGACUCCUACGGGAGGCAGCAGUGGGGAAUAUUGCACAAUGGGCGGAAGCCUGAUGCAGCAACGCCGCGUGCGGGAUGACGGCCUUCGGGUUGUAAACCGCUUUCGCCUGUGACGAAGCGUGAGUGACGGUAAUGGGUAAAGAAGCACCGGCUAACUACGUG
RNAcentral lists this ribosomal RNA (468 nucleotides) under uncultured bacterium. RNAcentral's name for it is "partial 16S ribosomal RNA". It matches the Rfam family "Bacterial small subunit ribosomal RNA", at positions 28 to 507 of the family's 1533-position model. The record is from RNAcentral.